GGACCCGUAGCUCAGUUGGCUAGAGCGCUAUCUUGACGUGAUAGAAGUCUGCAGUUCGAGUCUGCACGGGUCCA
RNAcentral lists this transfer RNA (74 nucleotides) under candidate division CPR3 bacterium. RNAcentral's name for it is "tRNA-Val". Lineage: Bacteria; candidate division CPR3. The record is from RNAcentral.